RNAcentral lists this ribosomal RNA (595 nucleotides) under uncultured bacterium. Its description in RNAcentral is "bacterial SSU rRNA". It matches the Rfam family "Bacterial small subunit ribosomal RNA", at positions 889 to 1495 of the family's 1533-position model. The record is from RNAcentral.
CAAGUUUGAAACUCAAAGGAAUUGACGGGGGCCCGCACAAGCGGUGGAUUAUGUGGUUUAAUUCGAUGAUACGCGAGGAACCUUACCAAGGCUUAAAUGGGAAUUGAUCGGUUUAGAAAUAGACCUUCCUUCGGGCAAUUUUCAAGGUGCUGCAUGGUUGUCGUCAGCUCGAGCCGUGAGGUGUUAGGUUAAGUCCUGCAACGAGCGCAACCCCUGUCACUAGUUGCCAUCAUUCAGUUGGGGACUCUAGUGAGACUGCCUACGCAAGUAGAGAGGAAGGUGGGGAUGACGUCAAAUCAUCACGGCCCCUACGCCUUGGGCCACACACGUAAUACAAUGGCCGGUACAGAGGGCAGCUACACAGCGAUGUGAUGCAAAUCUCGAAAGCCGGUCUCAGUUCGGAUUGGAGUCUGCAACUCGACUCUAUGAAGCUGGAAUCGCUAGUAAUCGCGCAUCAGCCAUGGCGCGGUGAAUACGUUCCCGGGCCUUGUACACACCGCCCGUCAAGCCAUGGAAGUCUGGGGUACCUGAAGUCGGUGACCGUAAAAGGAGCUGCCUAGGGUAAAACAGGUAACUGGGGCUAAGUCGUAACAAG